AUUCAGCUGACGAGUCUCAAAUAGGACGAAAUGUCACACUUCCUGGAU
RNAcentral lists this non-coding RNA (48 nucleotides) under Schistosoma curassoni. Lineage: Eukaryota; Metazoa; Platyhelminthes; Trematoda; Strigeidida; Schistosomatidae. The record is from RNAcentral.